This 156-nucleotide microRNA precursor is filed under the name Otolemur garnettii (small-eared galago). RNAcentral's name for it is "miRNA (ENSOGAG00000030562.1)". The record is from RNAcentral. Lineage: Eukaryota; Metazoa; Chordata; Mammalia; Primates; Galagidae.
AAGGUUGAUGCCUCCUUCCCCACCUUGCACCUCUGGUCAGACCCAGUGACAAGUAACCCCACAGGGCUGUGACCCAGUUCCCUCCAAUGAGCAGAUGCUCCAGGGGGUUGUGCCUGCUGAGUCACAGGCAGUCUCCUUGGCCAGACCUCCUUACUC